GCCGGGCAUGGUGGUGGGUGCCUGUAAUCCCAGCUACUUGGGAGGCUGAGGCAGGAGAAUCGCUUGAACCCGGGAGGUGGAGUUUGCAGUGAGCCAUGAUAGCACCACUGCACUCCAGCCUGGGUGACAGAGCGAGACUCUGUCUCAA
Molecule: non-coding RNA, 148 nt
Organism: Pan troglodytes (chimpanzee)
Lineage: Eukaryota; Metazoa; Chordata; Mammalia; Primates; Hominidae
Rfam family: Metazoan signal recognition particle RNA
About the family: The signal recognition particle (SRP) is a universally conserved ribonucleoprotein. It is involved in the co-translational targeting of proteins to membranes.
Source: Rfam